CCUACGGGCGGCAGCAGUCGAGAAUUAUUCACAAUGGGGGAAACCCUGAUGCAGCGACGCCGCGUGAGCGAUGAAGUAUUUCGGUAUGUAAAGCUCUAUCAGCAGGGAAGAAGAUGACGGUACCUGACUAAGAAGCCCCGGCUAACUACGUGCCAGCAGCCGCGGUAAUACGUAGGGGGCAAGCGUUAUCCGGAUUUACUGGGUGUAAAGGGAGCGUAGUCGGCGAUGCAAGCCAGAUGUGAAAGCCCGGGGCUCAACCCCGGGACUGCAUUUGGAACUGUGUGGCUGGAGUGUCGGAGAGGCAGGCGGAAUUCCUAGUGUAGCGGUGAAAUGCGUAGAUAUUAGGAGGAACACCAGUGGCGAAGGCGGCCUGCUGGACGAUGACUGACGUUGAGGCUCGAAAGCGUGGGGAGCAAACAGGAUUAGAUACCCGUGUAGUC
RNAcentral lists this ribosomal RNA (440 nucleotides) under uncultured bacterium. RNAcentral describes it as "partial 16S ribosomal RNA". It matches the Rfam family "Bacterial small subunit ribosomal RNA", at positions 338 to 795 of the family's 1533-position model. The record is from RNAcentral.